UUCCCACACAAUGCAAUCGAUAGUCCUGAACUAGAGCGACCCUCCAGGAGCCUGGGAGGCAGGGAGGGCCAGGGAUUCUGGGGUCUGCCGGGUCUGCGCCCCAAGGGGUGUAGGUCCUGCCUUGCCUGGAGAUGGCUGGCUUGUCUGCUGGGCUCUGCAAGUGGAGAAGUCUGGGGCCCACUGGAUCCCGGUCACAAAGCUGGCUGCCUGCUACUUGCUGGAGCUUUCAAAUGAAAUUUAGAAGAAUGCAAGUUUCUGAGGCGGGAGCCCCAGCACGUGAUCGGGGCGUGCUCUGCGGCAGGAGCUCGGUGAUCGAGGGCAGGAGAAUGCACGAACGGAGUCGCUUCUGCUGGCUAAUGGGCCGAGCCGUGGGACUGCGUGACCUCUGAGUGAUUGUCAGGUUCUGUCGUUCAAGGAGCAGACAGGCUCAGAGAGGACACAGGGCUUACCACCGUUCCACAGCCAGGAAGGGACGAGGUCUGAUCUUGGAACCAGCGCCUACCCAUUCUGACCGCCGCACCGCGCUAG
Molecule: long non-coding RNA, 528 nt
Organism: Phyllostomus hastatus (greater spear-nosed bat)
Lineage: Eukaryota; Metazoa; Chordata; Mammalia; Chiroptera; Phyllostomidae
Exons: 3
Source: RefSeq, a predicted model, not a curated record